Molecule: small nucleolar RNA, 76 nt
Filed under: Nomascus leucogenys (northern white-cheeked gibbon)
Lineage: Eukaryota; Metazoa; Chordata; Mammalia; Primates; Hylobatidae
Description: Small nucleolar RNA U3
Rfam family: Small nucleolar RNA U3
About the family: Small nucleolar RNAs (snoRNAs) are involved in the processing and modification of rRNA in the nucleolus. There are two main classes of snoRNAs: the box C/D class, and the box H/ACA class.
Source: Rfam by way of RNAcentral
AAGAUUAUACUUUCAGGGAUCAUUUCUAUAGUUUGUUACUAGAGAAGUUUAUGUGAACGUGUGGAGCCCCAAAGGU